CUGAGAAGUCUCCCUAUCCCUGGUCAUGAAGAUUGUCUUCUGUUUUCUUCUAGUGUUUGGUUUUAUGUUUUACAUUUAGAUCUGUGAUCCAUUUUGGAUUCUUACAUAAAAUGUGAGGUUUAAAAUGUUUUUCAUGCUAGUUUUUUCAUCAUUUGUUUGAAAAGACUGUCCUUUCUCCAUUGAAUUGCUUUUCCAUAUUUGUCAUAAAUUGACUGGCCAUGUUUAUGUGGGUCUGUUACUGUCCUCUCUCCUGUUCCCUUGAUCUUUGUGUCAUUCCCUUUGCCAAUACCCUGUCUUGACUACUGUAGCUUGAUAUUCAACCUUAAGAUAGUCUAACUCCUCCAACUUUGUCAAAAUUGUUUGUUAUUCUAGUUCUUUGGCCUUUCUACAAAUUUUAGAAUCAGUUUAAAAAAGGUGUGAUGGGAUUUUUUUUUAUUAUUAUUACAAUUGCAUUAAAUCUUUAGAUCGUUACAGGGCCUGAUGAGUAUUUAAAUGAGAUUGCAUGGGGUGGCUUGGGUAGCUAAGUGUGUGACUCUUGAUUUCACUUGAGGUCAUGAUCUCACACAGUUUGAUAGAUGGAGCCCCACAUCCAACUCUUGUGCUCACAGCUUGAAGCCUGCUUGGGAUGCUCUCUCUCAAAAUAAACUUAAAAAAAAAUUUUUAAAGGAUAUUGCUUGCUCUUAGGUGCUAUAUAACCUUUAAUGACAUAAGGCAGCCUCGUCCUUCAUUAGCUGUGUGGUGAUUAUUCCAGAGUUAAAAGCCCUGGGUUAUGAUUGAUUAUAGUAGUGUCUUCUGAAGUCUGGCAGUAAAUGAGGUGUGGUCUACAUAAUAGUGGAUAGGAGUGGCUAGGAAAAGACAACCAGAACAUUGAAGGGCUUGGGCAGGUCAGCCAUCAUUCACAACUUGAUCUUUGUAGACCUCUUCCCCUGUUCAUGCCCAUGGUUCUCCUGGUCUGAGGCAGUGGUACAGACUUUUAGUGGAAGAGUGGGGUGCCAAGGAAUCGGCUGUUGCUUGUGUUGUCAUCCUGUUUAUUCCUUCCCAUUAGAGACCUUCAGUCCCCUCCCCAGUUUCUUGGCUGUCUUCAGAAAAAAGAAAAACUCAGGCUUCCCAACUCCUAGUCUUUUAAAUGUGUACAUCCUUUCCUCCUUGACCAUCGUUUCAUAUUGUUUCAUAUCCUGUUCUUCUGUGGACCUUUGUGUCUCCAUUGUCUUAAUGACAGCCACAAACUCCUCCUAUCCAACAGGCAAAUGCUCAAAUGUACUAAUGAAAUGUUUCCAAAUAUUGCACCCUCUCUGGUCUCUGAGGGGUCUUAACAGCUGAGGUGUUAGUGUUCUGCCCCCCUAGCCCCCGGGCAUAUACACAGCCCCUUGCCUCUUCUCUGGCCAUUUCCCCUUUUCUUUGAGCAGCUGUGCUUUGCAGUGACUGCCAGUGUCCCUGCUUUUGUCUUCCUGUGAUGACUUGGGGACACACACACACACACAUCCCAAUGCGAAUGUGGAUUGGUUGGAGGAGCCCCUGCUUGCACAGAGACCCAGAAUAAGAAAACCUAGGUUUCCGGUGAUUUCUUCCAUAGGACGUCAUCUUAUUGUGGCUCCUACGUAAGUCCUCUUCCCCCUUUAGCUUGAUGCCAGGCCCUGGGCCAAGCACUUUAUUUGCUUAUGUUUUUGUCAGAAAACCUAGCCUCUUAGAUACUACUACCCCCUCCCUCAUUUUGCAAGUGAGAAGGCUGGGACGCAGAGAAACACAACCAGUCAGCGGCAGCUUCAGGAUUGGAACUUGGUCAUUGCCCCUCUGGAACCCAUGUACACAGCCACUGUCCUUAGAGAACAGUCAUCUCUCCUUGCCCACCCCCUGGAAGCACCUCCCUCUGCGCCAGCACACCCGCUUGCUGCCUGCCUGCCUGGGGAAUGCAAACUCAAGUGUGAAGAAGGUCCCUGAAAUUCACUCUGCCUCCUAGUCAGUCAACUGCUGACCACGUCGUUCUGAAGUAGUGGACUCGACUAUCUUGGGGACACACUCUGGAACAGGGCAAGGACUAGAUCUUGCUCUCCCAACACAGACCGUGGAUUUUUGAGGGAGAGCAGGGCCCAAAGAAGGGCCUUUCACCCCUCCAUACACAGCCACAUUUCAGGUCACUUGGAGCCAGGCUUCCUAUCUGAUUUGAAGUGAGCCUAACUGAUACGCAAAGGAGGCAGGAAGGCCGGGGGAGAGGCCAUGACCUGCCUUUCAUUCAUUCUGUGACCUCAGUCAAGUUACUUCCCUUCUUUGAACUCAGCAUUCUUUUGCCACAAAAUAACUGGCCAACCUGAUCCCCAAGGAUCAGUGGCCCCAGCAGGUCCAGCCCAAGGAUAAGGCCACAGGAGGUGGUGGCACUGCAGUCCUACUUGUCAGACGGGCACAAUGUGUCCAAAUGUGGUUGUUUUUGUGGUUUAUGGAAAAAAAAUUUUUUAUCAGGUCUGUGGUUUAUGCGACUGAUAGGGAGGUGGACAGGGCUAGCAUGCUGGCCUGGUGACCGAGCCACAGGGGGUUGGGGGCUUGGAGGACUGGGGCUCCUUAGACCCUUGUCACUCAGAAGGUUUCAUCUUGGUUUUGUCUAGCCACUGCUUCCUUCACAGGAUGGUGGCAAGUGCACUUCUGAGAUCUCCAAACACCCGCCUUCAUGGAGGUCAGCAGGCUCUCUCACCUUGUUGUACCAAUCCACAUACACACCUGGCACUCGAUGCCUAAAGAAUGAUGGAUGAUGGGCUUCAUGGGCACUUGGAUGGCAGUCAGUAGCUACAUGGGUGGGUGGGUGAAAUGGUUGCCGUUGUCUCCCAUACCAAAGCACCUGGCGUGGGUAUCCUGGAAGACUUAAUUUCACAGACAGGGCUGCCAGAACUAGAGGCGCAGGAGGAGGAGGAGGCGUGAGGAGCAGAGUGGGCCGAGAGGCCUGGGGACGUCAUGAGCUUAGCCCCGCAAAGACAGCUGCUACUGCAGAGCCUAAGCCAGGUCUGGCCGUACCAGACCCACAUCCUGCCUGUGGAGGAAGACGAAAGUAGGCAUUUUCCCAACCUUUCCUGCUUUUAACCUUGACACGCCAAUGAAAACUGUACCCCCUCAUCUGCCUUCACCAUUUCUAAUCACCCUUCUCCCAUCACCAUUCCCCUCAGCAUACGUACCUGGGCUCUGAGAGCAGGUGGCACAGUGGUAGUGCCUUUGAGACAUCUUUUCUCACCCGUGCAUCCCUGUGUGCCAAGUAAUAAAUAAUCUUGCUGCACAUGCACAUCCAAGGAUAGGUGAAAUGAGUCCUCAGCAAAUUGUGUGCUUUCCUCUCUGCUGCUUACAAGGAACAGGAUCCAUCCCUAUGGCUAUCUUGAGAUUUUUGCUCAUUGCUAAAUUGCUUAAAGAUUUUGGUGUGAGCAGUAGGAGGGCUCUUCUGGCAUCAUCUGAUACCUCCUGGGAGACUGGCUGCCUUCUGUUGGUCUAGAUUCUCAAGAUUGGGCAAGGGCAGCUGAGUACAGACUACAGGCUUCCUGCCUCUGGCAAAGCCACCAUCUCUGCUGAGGGCACUUCCUGGGGGCUCCAAUGGCCAUGGUAGUCUCAGUGGUUGAGGAGCAGUCCUGGGUGUCCAUCAGUGAUGUGGGCUGUGAGGCCAGGGGACAGCCUCCUAGUUGCUGGAGUGUUAAAAGGCCCAGACAUGAGAACUCUCUGGGAGACCCCAGUCUUUUUGCUUGCUUCUCCUUAUGAUCUCUCCCAGGUUGGGACUGUUUACAGAUGCACACACAAAAAGGGAGGCCCUAAUAAGACUGUAUCACCAAUUCAAAGCGCUUGAUUAAUCAUUUAAAAUGUCUGGGCUGUGCCAAGUGAAGGUUUCAGAUUCCAGGACAGGGGUGAUUGAGGAAUUGGAGCCUUUAGCUGAGAAGGCCUCUGCUCAAAUUUCUUGCAGGUCUUCUCUGCCCUGGCCCUUCUGCCUGACGCUCCACAUGCCCACUGCUGCCCAGAAGUAGGUUUCUGAGUAGCACGUGAAUGGCCCCACGAGGCUUGUACAAUACAGUAGUCCCAAACUUGGGACUGCUGGUUGGCGAGUCUGGUGACUCUGGAAAAGACCCCAGGGCUUGGUGGGCAGGUUGUUGGACAUGGGGGGCUGCAGGCAUGCUUCCAAGUGUCUUCCAUCUGUCUUCAACUGCUUCCGGCACCGAGUCAAAAAAGGUUGGUGGGAGACUUUCCUAGAAGCUACUCAGCUCCUUCCAAAGACACCCUGCACCCAAGACUAACCUAGGCCUUUCUGACGUAUUCUGGGUCUUGGGGUCACACCUGUGUGCAUGUACACCCCUCCCUGCACAUUCCACCAACCCCCUUCACUACCAUCAAGCACACAGCACUUCUGCACUUGGAUUCAGGUGGCAAAGCUCUGAGUAGCUGCUCCUCAUUGAGGGUCAUUGCCAAAGGGCUAUCUGGGAGUAAGAGAAGCUGGUGAGGGGAACCCCUAGGGCUAGGGCAGAGGUAGGAGUUUGGUGGCAUUGGCAGGGAGAUACCAAAUGCAAGUGGGGAGGGUUGGCCUUUUGGCUGAGGUGAAUAUAAGCCAGUCCAUAAGGCCCUGCCUGCAUCCAUCAGAAAAAGGUAGAGCCCAGCCCCUGGCCCCAGGCUGGCCCCAGGGCAUGCAUAUGAUCUGUAAGAAGCAGCUCAAUCUGAGCGGCACCUACAGGCACCAGAACCUGCCUCCCAACCUGAGCAGACUGCUGAACUGCCUGGAAGGGCAAUGUUCCAGUUGGUCCAGGAGUUGCAGAGACGGUACAGUUUCUCUGUACUGUUCCUCCAGCUUCCUCUAAUGUUUAACAUCUUGUGUAACCAUGGUGCUGCCCCCUUUUUAUACCCUGCUUGCCAGUAGAGGCCAGUUGCCAGGGGGGUAUGAACACCUGUGGUGGAAUCAUCUUUGACACAGCUCCUGCCUGGUGACCAGCACUGUCAGUGAUGCUUCAGUGCACACAAGUCCCCUGGCUUCAAGUACCCAGGGAGUUGGGCGGAGUGGGCUGCAUACUAGCUGGCCAGUCAUCUGGGGCAGUGUAGGAGCUCCCGGGCAGAUGGAUCCACUGAGGGGCAGAGUAGGGGAAGAGCAGUAAGGCCCCCUGGGUGGGGUGGGGUGGUCCUGGGGCUGACUGGGCCAUGCUGCUCAGUGCAGGAGGCAGCCUCUGGACAUGAAGGACCUCACACCCGCCAUGUAGGUAGGGCAUCUAGGAAGAUACAGUUGUAUGCCAUUCCUGGACCACAUGGGGGAGGGGUGCCAGGAGGAACUGUGAGGCCUCAAGGGCUUUCUCCUGGGCCACUCCAACCUCCAGACCUACUCUCCACACCCUCUUCCUCCCCCUACUUUUCCAAUAGUUUGGGGUCAGAGGUUCUGUCAUCAGCUAAUGGCAAAGAGAAGGUCAAAAGGGCUUUGGAAGACUUGGUAAUCCAGGGAAUAACUGACAGGGAUUCUAACGUAUGCACCAGCACCAACUGCCCCACCUGAGGUUGACACAGCCCUUUGGUUUGAAGUGUUCUGUCCUGUAGCCAGAUUGAUUUCUUCCCUCUAUAAACACUUGUAUGUGGUGGAAGACCAAAGACGGGAUGACCUGGGCCCAUCCACCUGCCUCACAGCCUGCUGGACUGCACUCUGUUGCUGCUGUCUCUGGGACAUGCUUACUUGACCUGACCAGCCCUCCGGUCCUGCCAGCUCUGCCACCGCCUUCAACAGGUGUGCCUGCCCCAUCUCUUCUGAUUGCUGAAAUAAAUGAAAAUGACUAGCUCUGCACAGACAUUUCUACCUUCAACACAGUGGGAUUCUAGAUUAUUAGCAGGGGUUGCACUGCUGUUUAAUUCAGUGACUUUAUCUUUUUAAUGUUCAAAAUGCAUUUCUUAUUGGCCUUUCACAAAUGUGCUAAAUGACUUUUAUUUUUUUGGCCAAAGGCUUAGUUAUAAAAUAUAUAUUUAUAAUUUUAAAAUUAUACAUUCAAGGUAGUGACAUGAUGUAAUCACACUGAAUGAUUUCUCUGCUGACACCCUGUAUGUUUCAAUAAAUUGGUCUAAACCUCAA
Molecule: long non-coding RNA, 6052 nt
Organism: Acinonyx jubatus (cheetah)
Lineage: Eukaryota; Metazoa; Chordata; Mammalia; Carnivora; Felidae
Exons: 2
Source: RefSeq, a predicted model, not a curated record